GACGAACGCUGGCGGCGUGGAUUAGGCAUGCAAGUCGGACGGUAGGGCUUUAUCGUAAGAUAGAGUUUGAGAGUGGCGAACGGGUGAGUAACACGUAGGAAUCUACCCUUAAGACGGGGACAACCCAGGGAAACUUGGGCUAAUACCGGAUGAGAGUGCGAGAGAUUGCAUUUAAAAGGAUGGCGAAAGUUGUCGCUUAGGGAUGAGCCUGCGGUCUAUUAGUUAGUUGGUGAGGUAAGAGCUCACCAAGGCGAAGAUGGUUAGGGGUUUUGAGAGAGAGAUCCCCCACAUUGGAACUGAGAUACGGUCCAGACUCCUACGGGAGGCAGCAGUAGGGAAUAUUGGGCAAUGGGCGGAAGCCUGACCCAGCCAUGCCGCGUGAAGGAAGACGGCCUUAUGGGUUGUAAACUUCUUUACUAUGCGACUAACUAGAUUUACGAGAUAAUUCUAUAGAAUGUAGCAUAGCAAAAAGCACCGGCUAACUCCGUGCCAGCAGCCGCGGUAAAGAGUAGUA
Molecule: ribosomal RNA, 514 nt
Filed under: uncultured bacterium
Lineage: Bacteria
Description: bacterial SSU rRNA
Rfam family: Bacterial small subunit ribosomal RNA
Source: RNAcentral